GAGGACUUAGCUUAAUUAAAGUGGUUGAUUUGCGUUCAAUUGAUGUAAGGUAUAGUCUUGCAGUCCUUA
This 69-nucleotide transfer RNA is filed under the name Damaliscus pygargus. RNAcentral describes it as "tRNA-Ala". It matches the Rfam family "tRNA". From Rfam's summary of the family: Transfer RNA (tRNA) molecules are approximately 80 nucleotides in length. Their secondary structure includes four short double-helical elements and three loops (D, anti-codon, and T loops). Further hydrogen bonds mediate the characteristic L-shaped molecular structure. tRNAs have two regions of fundamental functional importance: the anti-codon, which is responsible for specific mRNA codon recognition, and the 3' end, to which the tRNAs corresponding amino acid is attached (by aminoacyl-tRNA synthetases). tRNAs cope with the degeneracy of the genetic code in two manners: having more than one tRNA (with a specific anti-codon) for a particular amino acid; and 'wobble' base-pairing, i.e. permitting non-standard base-pairing at the 3rd anti-codon position. The record is from RNAcentral. Lineage: Eukaryota; Metazoa; Chordata; Mammalia; Artiodactyla; Bovidae.